CUAUGAUGAUGGCAUUUCUUCGGACACCUUUGGGUUAUUCAUGAAAACAGCUACUGUCUGAGCAGC
RNAcentral lists this small nucleolar RNA (66 nucleotides) under Carlito syrichta (Philippine tarsier). Its description in RNAcentral is "Small nucleolar RNA SNORD58 (ENSTSYG00000022412.2)". It matches the Rfam family "Small nucleolar RNA SNORD58". From Rfam's summary of the family: snoRNA U58 is found in introns 1, 3 and 6 of the ribosomal protein RPL17 gene in humans. U58 is a member of the C/D class of snoRNA which contain C (UGAUGA) and D (CUGA) box motifs. Most of the members of the box C/D family function in directing site-specific 2'-O-methylation of substrate RNAs. Lineage: Eukaryota; Metazoa; Chordata; Mammalia; Primates; Tarsiidae. The record is from Rfam by way of RNAcentral.